Molecule: small nuclear RNA, 104 nt
Organism: Sorex araneus (European shrew)
Lineage: Eukaryota; Metazoa; Chordata; Mammalia; Eulipotyphla; Soricidae
Source: Ensembl
GUGCUCGCUUUGCCAGCACAUAUACUAAAAUUGGAACGAUACAGACAUUAGGAUAGCCCCUGUGCAAGGAUGACAUACAAAUUCGUGAAGCGUUCCAUAUUUUU